Molecule: ribosomal RNA, 428 nt
Filed under: uncultured prokaryote
Description: bacterial SSU rRNA
Rfam family: Bacterial small subunit ribosomal RNA
Source: RNAcentral
UGAGGAAUUUUGCGCAAUGGGAGCAAUCCUGACGCAGCAACGCCGCGUGGGUGAUGAAGGCCUUCGGGUCGUAAAGCCCUGUCAGGUGGGAAGAAUGUCCCGGGACUGAACAGGUUCCGGGAGUGACGGUACCACCAGAGGAAGCACCGGCUAACUCCGUGCCAGCAGCCGCGGUAAUACGGAGGGUGCAAGCGUUAUUCGGAAUUACUGGGCGUAAAGCGCGUGUAGGCGGUCCUGCAAGUCUGAUGUGAAAGCCCCGGGCUUAACCCGGGAAGUGCAUUGGAAACUGUGGGACUUGAGUACUGGAGAGGAUGGGUGAAUUCCCGGUGUAGAGGUGAAAUUCGUAGAGAUCGGGAGGAAUAUAAGUGGCGAAGGCGCCCAUCGGGACGGUAACUGACGCUGAGACGCGAAAGCGUGGGGAGCAAACA